Bos taurus (domestic cattle) is the source of this 730-nucleotide long non-coding RNA. The record is from Ensembl. Lineage: Eukaryota; Metazoa; Chordata; Mammalia; Artiodactyla; Bovidae.
GUUUCUAGGUUGGGAAUUAAAUGCACUAAUGGUUCCCACUCAUUCCUAAUUGGCACCAAAUUACACACAGUGGGCUCAGCAGGGGCCGAGGCGGCAGCUGGCGUCAGGGUGGUAGGAAGUCAGCCUUAUCAGAGCUGCGUGGGGUUCUUAGUCUUACAGAAGCCCGCACUGGGAGCACUGUGCUGGGAGUCCUUAGUCCUUCUUCUGGGGCAGUGGGAGGAGUCCAGGUUUUGGGGUUAGGGACAGCCCAGCUGGUUGGUUGGUUAUCUUUCUGCACCUCAGUUGCCUCAUCUGUAAAAUGGGGAUGGUCAUCACCCCUACCUCGUGGCAUUGUUGGCAAGUGAAGACUUCUGCUUUUCUGUGGGCAUCAUACCUAGAUCCUCUGCCACAACUCAGGAGAGGGGAUAAGGCUGGUUAGGAGAGCCCUUCAGACCUGGAGGGGAAGCAUCUCACCCUCAGCCCAAGGAUGUUGUAGCCCAACCAUCAGCAUUUCGUUCCUUGCGGAUGAGUCUUCUUCUGGCCUCUGGGAAUCUGUUUGAAGACACAAAUGCCCCUGGGAGGCUGCUGAUUUCCACUUGUCCAUCAGUCCAUCGACCUGUCCAUCCAUCACCCGCUGAAGGGAAGCAGAAAUGAAUACGAAGUGGAACCCACCUGUCCUCCAGAAACCCAGCAGGGAGAACGAAAUCUCAUUUGGAGGUGCGCUCUGUGCGGGGAGACAGCGGUGCAGGGU